Molecule: long non-coding RNA, 4955 nt
Filed under: Chelonus insularis
Lineage: Eukaryota; Metazoa; Arthropoda; Insecta; Hymenoptera; Braconidae
Description: uncharacterized LOC118071718, transcript variant X3
Source: RNAcentral
CGCUGCUAGAGCCAAGCUGUCUGCUGGAGAUUCCUUAUGUAUAUAAUCUCCCCCGCCGGAUCUCUUACGAGGCUCGGCUGGGGAAGCCACAGACCUCUGCUGCUUCGUCUUCUCGUUCCUCAGGUUGUGUUCUAGUGCGAUAAUCGAUGACGGAACUUGUUUAGAGAUCAAAAGUUGAUAGAAUACAUGACAAAGAUCAAAACUUGCGGAUGAGUACAAACUUACAGCUGUUUUUUUUCAAGGUGUAAGAUAGAAGGUAAUUGAUAACAAGAAUUUGACACAUCCUGAUAAUCGCCGCCAUUUUGUUCCUGAUAUUUAGUACGAAUACGAGUUGAAAUCAUAUAUUCAAUUGAUGAUAUUGAUAAUAAAGAAUGUAUAGAAGUGAUGAGAGAAACACGACAACCUCGAUAAUGCAUGAUACGUGGUCAUAAAAGUGAUCAACCUUCCAGAAAUAUCUUGAAGCUCUUUCAAAACAAGAUGCUGUAAGUAAUUAAAUAUAUUUUUUAUCCUGCACGUGACGCUGCAGAUGGAUUUAUGCUGAAAUAAUUGAUGGAAAAAAUUUUAUGUUGGAGAAUCAAGCUGGCUCGCAUCCGCUAAGGAAUGUGGUCCGCGUCGUGGAAUCUGCGCGCAAGCAGGCAAGGAUACGGGGCCGCAGAGCGAGUCUGAUGGUGGCCGAUUGCCACGGUGGAACGCGCGGGAGCACGCAUACACAUACACGCAACGUCAUCGUCGAAAAUAAUCAGACAAAUCUUUCACGAUAUAAGAAUGACAAUUAACUUAAUAAGUGUUAUAUGAAUGUAGAAGAAAACAUGUUACGCAAAAUUUAUAUGCAGGAUAUAUGUGAAAAUGGAUGUAGGUUCUUACCUAUAGCUAGCCGUGAGUCCGAAGCCUAAACAGCCACGGCAUCUCAGCGUGUCCAUACAACGUGAAAACUCUUUGGUUGGCCGUAGCCAAAGCACUUAUAUCACCGACACAAACCACCAUUCACGCGUUUAAUCAAGUCUGGAUCAAGUGUAGAAUAAUCAAAGAAUCAAAUUGAUCUAUUUGAAGAUGAAGUGUUAACGUUGAUUGAACACUGGAUAUACCGAUGAGAUAAAUGUAUAAUUCAACUAUUCACUGUUAUUAAUAAUGAAGGUAAGCACAUCACUACGAAAAUGUCACGAUGAGAAUGAAGACGACAGUAAGAAGAGUCGUCCGACACGGUUGAUAGGCGUCGUGUGACUACUGGUUGCUGCUCAGGAGCAAGCGCCAAGGAGCCUUCCUCGCGCUCACCACGAUUACCGUCCCCGCCGGUACGGACUGUCGUACGCAAGAUGGAGCAAUUCCCCUACUGAACCGUAGAGAGCGUCGAUUCAUAAGUACACGCGCUCAUUUGGACAGGGCCGCUCCAAAUGGACUAUGGGCCCCGACCAUGGUCCCUUUUAUCCCCUCCAUUAAGCUCUUCCACCUGCUAAGUUUAAAAGAAAGCCCUCCUCCUAGGCGCACUUAUGCUAUUUCCACCACUUGGAGUCCUCGCUUUCUUUCCCCCCACUGUGGUAUUUUACCUGCGCCAAAGUAUCAUAGUUAUCUUCUUCAGCUGGUUGAAGGAUGGUCCAUUUCACUUGACUCGCAUGACUAAAUGAUGAAACGAAUAAAAUGUUGGAGAAGGAUAACAAGGGAAUACGAGAAAUGCUACUAGCUUGGCUGACCGGUCUUCCUGCCGCGCGCCAUGCUGUCUGCCCGAUUCCUGCAUACUUCCCACUUGGCAAUUGGAUAUUUUACGCCAUUUCCGCUUGACAACUCAAUCACACUGGAGAUUUCAUGGAGAUGCCCACGCGUUUCCUUCCACAAGACUGCAAAUGCGGCUAAUAAAUGACCUGAGAGACUGCGGACAAUGAAAAAUGAUAGAGUGAGAAAUCUAGAUGCAGCAACUGAACAAUCAUUAUCGUACUACGGUUGUUCGCUUCCAAUUAUUAUUUCUGCAAACUAUAACACGUUUCGACAUGCUGAAGAAGAAUGAUUUCCUCUCCACGAAUCCAUCUGAGAUUAUAUGCAAUUUCCGCUCUGCCAAUAACAGACUUGGUCGGAAGUUGAAAAAUUCUAAAUUAAAUUCUAUCAUCGCAAUAAAUGCUAUCGAGCACCCUGUGGGUUGUGAAAAAAAAGAAAAAGAAGAAGAGAAUGUGUCCUCUAGCUUGUAAAGGGGGUUGAGGGGGUCAUGAUGGAGAAGCAGAAGAAGAACCGGCCGAAGAACUACAGAGAGCAGAGACGACAGGAGUGGCGGUGAGGAACAAGGUAGAAGAUAUCGUGCCGGUUAGUGCUCCGCCCCAGCUUCAGGGUCGUCUUAAUUACCGGGUGGUCCAGUUCGGAACCCCAUAAAUAUUUCGUGCUGCGGCGCUCUUUCCUUAGAGACCCCAGAACUCUUCAGAAACUAUCUUUAGUGAAUAAGCAACAGUAUCCUAGACUCUAGCAAGAAUAUGAGAAAGAUAUAGAUAUACUUGAGAUCCUCAUCCAAGCUUUCACAGUCGCUUCUAUAUAUAAUUCCAUCAUUAGAUUGGCUCUUUGUAUUUUGACUUCCACCGCCAGAUGAACAACCGGAUGAGAUCCAGCUCUUUCAACGUUCCAUUCUCAUCCAAGCUGGGAGCCACCAAGUCUACCGAAAGUUAGUCAUCUUGUACAUUAAAGAAUAAAAAGAAGGAGAAACGAAAAAAAGAGAAUAUGAUUGAUUUUUAUCUUAUUUUCGGCGUUAUCAAAAGAAAAAUGAGCCGUAGCACUAAAAGAGGAUUAGUAGUUUUUUUUUCUCUAUUUUCUCAGGUAUAUUUGAAAGAUAACAAGGAUCCUCGACCACGUCACCCUGCUUCAAACUGGGUAGAGGCCUCCUACGCUGCAUAGUCGGCAGAAUGUCUUUUGCAUGAGUCACAUAGGACAUCUCUAUUAUGUGCUCAAUUCGCCAAAAUUUAUUAUAACUUUAACAGAUUUAUAUCUCAUAUACUUUUCCACGUAUAUUGAAUCAAUCCUUGUCUUAUCUCUCUUCUUUAGAAUAUUUUUCUUCUUUUUACGACCCGCCCACAUGCGAACAGCCUAAAACAAUGGCCAUUACUACCAAUUUUCGAUGAGCUGUCAUCAACCACCCACAGGCAUAUAAGAGUAAGACGAGGGAGCUAGGGAACUAUCAUUUGUGUGGUCUGGCCAGCGGAAUAAAGAGAGACAAAUGAAAAAAAAAAAGAGAAAGACCACCUUCGUAGAAGCCACUUUACUCUCGCGAGAACAGAGAACGUUCUCUCUUUCUCUCUCUAUUUCGAAAUUCUUCGCGGACCGAGUGGGGUCAGCAUGAGAACCAAAGAUGUAAAUUCCCACCGAGUCCACUUGCGUUGCUCGUUCAUCAAAUGGAUUAGAAAUUAAUAAUCAAUGUUCUUUAGUCAUUUAUAUUUACUUGGAAGAGAAAAAAUAACCAUAAUUGACGUAAAUAUCAUUAGUAAUUACCUUUUUAAAUUUUAUUGCAGAAAACUGAUUAAGUAUUCCUUAAAAAAAAAAUAUCAACUGAGCUGUUAUUCAGACACCUGAUGGCAACUCAUUGUGCAAGGCGUAAUUAUGUAACUUCAACUUGUAAGUGUGUGCGCUGUAAAUUUCCAAUACAUAACUUAAGGACUCUAAAGAAAAUCGUAUAAUACGUCAUAAAGUUCUACGAAGACAAAAGUAGAAAAACCUGUACCUUAGAAAUAAUGCAUACAUUAUCAAUGUUAUUUAAAAUAUGUGCAUUGCUCAUGUUUCUCAUCAUUAACUUCAGCACGUCUUCAGAACAUAUUAUGUCCAUUCCCAGCAGAUGAAGUUUAUUUCAAAUUAAAAUGGUUAAGUACCAAGAACAGUAAUGUUAUACGCUAAGCUAAUUUCCAAUAGGAAUGAAUUAAAUUCAAUGAUUGGAGAUAAUAAUAGAAUGAAUUUUAUGAUGUGAAAUCUCAACUGGAAAAAAAUACUCAAAAUUGGUUUAAUGGAAGCAGUUUGCAAAUAUAAUGAAGAAAAAGUGUUACGUUGAAAAUUUAUUCGAUAAAAGACAUACAUAGUAUUGGAGCCAGAUAUAGCUGAUGCGAUCUAAUGAGCACCCUCACCUGUUCAUCUACACAUGUAACAGCCAGCUGUACGCAGUAAGAACGACCUAGCGGACAAGUAAACAGGUUGAUAUAUGUACCUUAUUCCUAUAUAUAGCCACAUCUCUCGUCUCCCGGAAACUUGUUUCUUCUCAUCGUGACGAGGUAUCUCAGAGGAACAUUGAAUUUCACUCAUACAUGUGAAUAAAUUGAUUCUCAGACAGUAUCAUUGAUUCAAUCAACAUGCAUGCUGAAGAUGGAUUAAGGUAGUUGUUAGAAGAAUGCGUGAGUGAUCAAUGUUAAUAAGACCACAUUCGAAAGACUUGUGAGAGUAUAGAGGUAAGCAAGACUCUGGAACUUGGCACUUUUGGUACGCGGCAGACAGCGCGUCGCCCAAUCUCCACAGGCAACUUCUGUACUCGUACCAGUGUUAACUAGUGGCUCAAUCCGAUCAUUCCAUUUUAAACCAACUGAAAAACUAGAAAAGUCUUCCUAACUUUGACUCCUUAAUAGUCAUUAAAAUCAAUGUAGAAUUAAAGUCUCGCCAAAACUAUUAAGUCUAAUCCAGCGGAUUAAACACUAAACUCAGUUAGUAAAAACUUUUGUUAUAAACGUAGUUCCUAUGACCUCAUAUACAUUAUCAUGAUAUCUUAAACAGCUGGAAAAAGCUUCAGAAAUAGAUUCACAUGCCGCCAGAAUUAUGUCUGAAUAUUGGAAUAUUCUCAGAAGUUGAUGUUUAUCAUUUCAAGAAAUAAAUUUGACUGCGCAAAAUAUCCAUUUAUAAUACAAAAGAAGUUGAUAUUUUGACGUUAAUUUUCCUUUGUUAGCUAUUGGUUUUACGUAGAAAAUUAUUCGCUUCUGUAGAACAAUUCAUUUAAAUAAAAUAAAACUGAA